GAUGAACGCUGGCGGCGUGCCUAAUACAUGCAAGUCGAGCGAAGAGACGAGGAGUUUGCUCCGCUGACGUUAGCGGCGGACGGGUGAGUAACACGUGGAUAACCUAUCUAUAAGACUGGGAUAAGGUCGGGAAACCGGAGCUAAUACCGUAUAACAUGUUGAACCGCAUGGGGCAACAGUGAAAGACUGUCUUUGGGUCACUUAUAGACGGAUCCGCGCGUCAUUGGAUAGUUGGUAGGGUAAGGGGUUAGCAAGGCAACGAUGGGUAGACGACAUGAGAGGGUGAUCGGCCACACUGGAACGGAGCCACGGUCAAGACUCCUACGGGAGGCCGCAGUCGGGAAUGUUCCGCAAUGGGCGAAAGCCUGACGGAGCAACGCCGCGUGAGUGAAGAAGGUCUUCGGAUCGUAAAGCUCUGUUAUUAGGGAAGAACAAAUGUGUAAGUAAAUGUACACGUCUUGACGGUACCUGAUCAGAAAGCCACGGCUAACUACGUG
RNAcentral lists this ribosomal RNA (497 nucleotides) under uncultured bacterium. Its description in RNAcentral is "partial 16S ribosomal RNA". It matches the Rfam family "Bacterial small subunit ribosomal RNA", at positions 28 to 507 of the family's 1533-position model. The record is from RNAcentral.